CGCCCAGACUCCUACGGGAGGCAGCAGUGGGGAAUAUUGGGCAAUGGACGCAAGCCUGACCCAGCAACGCCGCGUGAAGGAAGAAGGCUUUCGGGUUGUAAACUUCUUUUAAGGGGGAAGAGCAGAAGACGGUACCCCUUGAAUAAGCCACGGCUAACUACGUGCCAGCAGCCGCGGUAAUACGUAGGGGGCGAGCGUUAUCCGGAUUCAUUGGGCGUAAGGCGCGCGUAGGCGGCCUGUUAGGUCGGGGGUCAAAUACCGGGGCUCAACCCCGGUCCGCCCCCGAUACCGGCAGGCUUGAGUCUGGUAGGGGAAGGCGGAAUUCCCAGUGUAGCGGUGGAAUGCGCAGAUAUUGGGAAGAACACCGGCGGCGAAGGCGGCCUGCUGGACCGCGACUGACGUUGAGGCUCGAAAGCGUGGGGAGCGAACAGGAUUAGAUACCCCCGUAU
Molecule: ribosomal RNA, 449 nt
Filed under: uncultured bacterium
Lineage: Bacteria
Description: partial 16S ribosomal RNA
Rfam family: Bacterial small subunit ribosomal RNA
Source: RNAcentral